This 292-nucleotide ribosomal RNA is filed under the name uncultured bacterium. RNAcentral describes it as "partial 16S ribosomal RNA". It matches the Rfam family "Bacterial small subunit ribosomal RNA", at positions 505 to 796 of the family's 1533-position model. The record is from RNAcentral.
GUGCCAGCAGCCGCGGUAAUACGUAGGGUGCGAGCGUUGUCCGGAAUUAUUGGGCGUAAAGGGCUCGUAGGCGGCCUGUCGCGUCUGCUGUGAAAUCCCGGGGCUCAACUCCGGGUCUGCAGUGGAUACGGGCAGGCUAGAGUCCGGCAGGGGAGACUGGAAUUCCUGGUGUAGCGGUGAAAUGCGCAGAUAUCAGGAGGAACACCGGUGGCGAAGGCGGGUCUCUGGGCCGGUACUGACGCUGAGGAGCGAAAGCGUGGGGAGCGAACAGGAUUAGAUACCCCGGUAGUCC